GGACGGGGCUUUUUCUCACUACAAGGACUCGUUAUUAUUUUAUUUUGCAAGCCAAGAAGGAACGGGAUCAUUUUUAUUAGAAUUUUAAUAUCGUUAUUAUUAUCAUUCUUAUGGAAAACACACUUCUGACUUAUUUGUACCGAUGAUAAACGUUGUUUACUAUUUUGACUGUGUAUAAGAAGACUGUAAAUCUGGCCAUUGGAAACAAUGAUAUUAGGGGGACUUAAAUAAUAACAUGGUUUAUUGUAGUGCUAUGAAAACAGCAUGAAAAUGUUAUCUUGUGUUUGCUUAUUCUCCUUGGUUUAAACUAAGAUCCUUCUUGGGAUAAAAAAGGAACCAUUUUGUGAAUUCAGAGGUUUUCCUCACAAUGGUAAUAUCAAUACUGUUAUGCUUAUCUUCCCCUGUUCAUAAUGCUGUAAAUUCAUUUCUUGAAAAACAUUUAGAAAUUGUUUCAUUAUUAUAAAUACAUGUUUAACAUUUAAUAAUAGAAGUAUUAAUAAUAAAUAAGACAUGAAGCUGAACUGUGAGAGGUGGCUGUGAUGGCCACUAAUAGAAGAGCAGCGAGUUCUUCCAAUAGAACAUGUCUGCUGUGUUCCAAAUACCACCCUAUUCCCUAUAAUAGUGCAUUGCUUUUGGUCAGAGAGCCCUAUGGGUCCUGGUCAGAGAGCCCUAUGGGUCCUGGUCAGAGAGCCCUAUGGGUCCUGGUCAGAAGUAGUGCACUAAGUAACAGGGUACCAUUUUCGAUGCAGACUUGGUUUUGGCUUGUUUUGGUAUUGUUUAUUUUCUUAUUUUUUAACACCACUAAACCUAAAGGGCACUUUAUCCAUCACACUAAGGUCAUGAUGCCUACCUGCCUGUUGUAUGUCUUUAAUCAUUAACUUGAAUGUGAUUUAUUUUUCAUUGAGAAGAGCACCUGUUUUCCCCGGUGCAAUAUCUACAUUUUGUCCCAAAUGGCACCCUAUUCCCAAUGUAGUGCACUACUUUUGACCAGAGCUCUAUGGGCCUUAGUCAAAAGUAGUGCACUAUAAAGGGAAUAGGGUGCCAUUUGGGACUUGCACCCAAUAGUCCUGUAAAUCUGCCUGCUGCUAAUGUAAAGUGACAGUCGUGAAGAAUGGAUCUUCACACUCGUCCUCCUCUCUCUCUCUCUCUCUCUACUCUGUUAUCUGUACAUCCCUCUCCCUCUAUUCCUGCUCCACUAAGUGGUUCACUAGAUUCCUCCCUCUCUCCCUAUGUACUUCUUUUUUUAGGGGUUGUUCUUUUUUUAUUAAUGGGGGAAAAAAAUUAAAAGUUAACUUUUGUUAAAUUCCACAACUCCACAACAAGCCCUUGCGGUUCAUAUAACUUGAGUCAAAUUAAAACUGAAACAUGGAAACUCAGUGUUGUUGUGUGAAAUGGUUCUUGUUUUAACAUCCAAUGAUACUUCUUAGAGCGUUCUGUUGACUUUGUGUACGUCGUUUUAGGUGAAAAUGCAGCCAAAAAAGGCCUCAGAGUUUAACUGAUAAACCUCCCCCUAAUUUUCCCCUAUUACUUAACGUUGUGUUUCGGAUAUUACAUUUUGAGACAAAGUUCUCCCUUUAACAAUUAUGGUGGUUUUCUGUUCCAUUUAUUGAUGCAAUAGCAACCGUUUCCCAUCAUUCCACUGUUUAAGCAAACAGGUUUUUACUUUCAACCAAACUUCCCUUGACCAGAAUAAAGUGGUCAUGUCCUUGACUUUUCCAGGAAGAAGAGAGCAGCUAUUGUGGAUAUUUCAUUGUGAGUACUGGACAGAUGUCUAGCUAUAUUGUGACAUUUCAUUGUGAGUACUAGGCAGAAGUCUAGCUAUAUUGUGACAUUUCAUUGUGAGUACUGGACAGAAGUCUAGCUAUAUUGGUGACAUUUCAUUGUGAGUACUGGGCAGAAGCCUAGCUGUAUGGUGACAUUUCAUUGAGUGUCAUGUCAUUCCGUAAAGAGAGAAAUGCCUAGGCAUACAUUACACAAAGCUGUUGAUGAUGCUACACGGCAGGUGUGUUUCGGUGAAGGAAACUCAGUUCAUUCACACGGGCCGAUCUAGGACUUUAUGUGUUCCAAGGACGAGCAAAUAAAAUCGUCCUGUUUGUCCUGGCACGUUAUCAAUCCCCCUCGCUAGCUCUCUCUAUCUCUCACAAUCAAACCAGGGGCCAGAAAUACUUCUAGCCACAGGGCUGAUUUUAUAAAACUAGAGAGGACACCUGGGUGUAAACUGCUGCACAAUUGUACUGUCACCAACUGAUAGUAAUACUUUUUAAAAUUUUCAAUGAAAGAUAUUUAGUAAGAGAAAUACUGUGCGUGCCCAAGGUGUUGUCGUUUCAAUCAGUGACCUAUCAAUGAGCCACAGGUCUUGAUAAACUUGACCUCAGUUCGGACUUGAUAUUGUAACACAUAAAAAUGCUCAGAGUAACAUCAAUUACAUUUUGACAUACUAUUUCUCACGUAGUGUAUGUGGACACCUGCUCGGCCAACAUCAUAACAUCUCAUAACAAAAUCAUGGGCGUUAAUAUGUAGUUGGUCCCCCCUUUGCAGCUGUAACAGCCUCCAGUCUUCUGGGAAGGCUUUCCACUAGAUGUUGGAACAUUGCUGUGGGGACUUGCUUCCAUUCAGCCAUGAGCGUUUGUGAGAUCGGGCACUGAUGUUGGGCAAUUAGGCCUGGCUCGCAGUCGGCAUUCCAAAUCAUCCCAAAGUUGUUUGAUGGGGUUGAGGUCAGGGCUCUGUGCAGGCCAGUCAAGUUCUUCCACACUGAUCUUGACAUACCAUUUCUGUAUUGACCUCGCUCUGUGCAUGGGGGCAUUGUCAUGCUGAAACAGGAAAGGGCCUUCCCUAAACUGUUGCCACAAAGUUGGAACACAGAAUCGUCUAGAAUGUCGUAUGCGGUAGCGUUAAGAUCUCCCUUCACUGGAACUAAAGGGCCUGACCCAUGAAAAACAGCCCCAGACAAUUAUUCCUCCUCCACCAAACUUUACAGUUGGCACAAUGCAUUCGGGCAGGUAGUGUUUUCCUGCCAUCCGCCAAACCCAGAUCCGUCCAGCCAGAUGGUGAAGCAUGAUUCAUCACUCCAGAUAACGCGUUUCCACUGCUCCAGAGUCCAAUGGCGAGCUUUACACCACUCCAGCCGACGCUUGGCAUUGCGCAUGUUGAUCUUAGGCUUGUGUGUGUCUGCUCGGCCUUGGAAACCCAUUUCAUGAAGCUCCCGACAAACAGUUAUUGUGCUGACGUUGCUUCCAGAGGCAGUUUGGAACUCGGAGGUGAGUGUUGCAACCGAAGACGGGCAAUUUUUAUACACUAAAGCACUCUGGUCUCAUUCUGUGAGCUUGUGUGGCCUACCACUUCAAGGCUGAGCCGUUGUUGCUCCUAGACAUUUCCACUUCGCAAUAACAGCACUUCCAGUUGACCAGGUCAGCUCUAGCAGGGCAGAAAUAUGAUAAACUGACUUGUUGGAAAGGUGGCAUCCCAUGACUGUGCCACGUUGAAAGUCACUGAGCUCUUCAGUAAGGUCAUCUUACUGCCAUUGUUUGUCCAUAGAGAUUACAUGGCUGUGUGCACCUGCCAGCUAUGGGUGUGGCUGAAAUUACCGAAUCCACUCAUUUGAAAGGGUGUCCAUAUACUUUUGUAUAUAGUGUAUCAUGUACACAGUGUCCAGACUUUUCUUUGGGGAAAGCUUGUUGUUGGAGAUGUGAAAAGGUAAAUAGUAUGAUUAUUGUUCACAAGAUCACAUCAGUAAGAGUACCAACAUACUGUAUGUCCCAACAAAUAUGAAUUAAUUGUCAGAUCUGUUAUGACAGUUUGUUAACAACGGCUCAAGGUAAGAUUUCGAGAUUCUUAUCUCCUAUAUGGCCCCGGGGGCCAUGUCCAACUUUUCAAAGUGAAGCUGUCGACCAUUUGAAUUGGUCAUACUGCAGGCUACAGUAGACUAGAGGAUGGUGACAGGCAAGGGGACUUUGGUAAGACCUCAGAAGAACACUGCACCAUGUAGACAGUGAUAUGUACAGUUCUGUCUGACUAAGAUAACAACUGUCGUCGUCAUAUGGGGUUUCAUGUUCUCUCGUUGGCACGAGGAUCUUCAUCACAGGUAUUAGAACCUUUUUUUUUUAAACACAAAAAGAUGGAGGCCAAUACAUGCAAUGAAGGGAACGUGAAGUUGCUACCUUUACAGUUCCUAUCGUUAUGAAUAACUAUAAAUUACAGUUACAAAGAUAUUGUGUAUGAUAGUCUUU
This 4226-nucleotide long non-coding RNA is filed under the name Oncorhynchus kisutch (coho salmon). RNAcentral's name for it is "lncRNA (ENSOKIG00005031607.1)". Lineage: Eukaryota; Metazoa; Chordata; Actinopteri; Salmoniformes; Salmonidae. The record is from RNAcentral.